AGUCAUAGUUACUCCCGCCGUUUACCCGCGCUUGGCUAAAUCUCUUUGCAUUGACAAUCAGAGCACUGGGCAGAAGUCACCUCGCGGAACCAGCCAGCAGGUCCCAUCGCAAAGCUAUGUUUCAAUUAAACAGUCAGAUUCCCCUGCGUAGUACACAGUUCCGAGUAGACCACACGUGGGUGCCACGGAAUCCCCGCCCACGGGAAAAACGGUGGGGCCUGGACGCCCACGGCCAGAGGACGGCUGGGAAGCCAGCCCUGGCACAGGACAACCAAGCCCCGGAGGGUUCCGUGCAAUCCCGACGGGCAGGCCUGACACCCUGGCCCUUGGAGCCACCGCAUCUUCCGAAGGUACACAACCAGUUUGCCGAUUUCCCUUAGCUGCAUUUGCACUGUUGACCAGCGGCGUCUAGCCGAAGAGACCAGCUGCGGUGAUUCGGUACGGAGCCAUUCCAAUCGGAUCAGAGCCCCCAGAUGGGGGCUUGUCCCGGUUUGGUCACCAAGGGUUCACGCUUUGUUGCACAACUUUGCAGGGCGUUCCAUGGAGUCGGUGGCCACCAAAGGCAUGGCGCAUUCCGGGUCGGCCGAGGCCAAACCCUCAGAGCAGGGCACGCGUAAGUCCAAUGGUACCAAUGCAGCACCAUCUUGCCAAGCAGAGAGCUAUGUCGCCAUGCAGCAUGUCAGUGGAUAGCCCACACACUCCAGCUGUCAGAUGGAAAAGACAACUCCACAGGGGCGCCACCGAGACGCGGCCCCGCAGCACCGGACUUGAGAACACCAGCGUUGCCACUGGCCCUUCCCAGCAAUCUCUCCGAGAAAGCGUUCUGAGUAUCAUCAGCCAAGACCCUGGUACCAGCGUGUCGGAAUAUUAGAUUCGUCUGCCUGUUCGCCACUCCUGCAAGGCAGAGCCCUGGCACCGAGCUUCACCCGAAGGGCACAGCGCCGCGCACCCCAUGGCACCCAGUGGGGGACCAGCACGGCGCCAGCCGCGGGACGGGCGACCCGGAGCCAGAGGCCCCGAACUUUGCAGCCUUUGCCGUAUCCGUGAGCAUUGCCAUCUGGCUUACAAUCGACUGACCCAUAUUCAACGACUGUUGGUAUGGAAGCCUGCUCCACUCCAGUCCUCAACCACUCAGGCCAGCAGCAGGCCUCUGCAAGAGAGAGCCUGCAUGAGCCACCAGAAAGAAUACUCGCUACUGCAACCAAGAUCUGCACCAAGGGAUACUUCCCUCCGGGUCACCCCGGAGCCAGCACCGCGAACCCUUGCGUCUCGCCUACGCACUGCUGCACCUGCCCUGCUGCCACAGCAGCGGCGCGGUGUAAGUCAAACAACGCCUCUGGCUUGAGCAUCAUCCAUUUUCGAAGCUGCCCGCUUCGGCAGGUGGGUUGUUACACACUCCUAAGCGG
This 1406-nucleotide ribosomal RNA is filed under the name Eutreptiella gymnastica. RNAcentral describes it as "partial Eukaryotic large subunit ribosomal RNA". Lineage: Eukaryota; Euglenozoa; Euglenophyceae; Eutreptiales; Eutreptiaceae. The record is from RNAcentral.